GACGAACGCUGGCGGCGUGCCUAAUACAUGCAAGUCGAGCGGACGAAUCGAAAGCUUGCUUUUGAUUCGUUAGCGGCGGACGGGUGAGUAACACGUGGGCAACCUGCCCUGUAGACGGGGAUAACACCGAGAAAUCGGUGCUAAUACCGGAUAACACGAAAUGUCGCAUGACGUUUCGUUGAAAGACGGCGCAAGCUGUCGCUACAGGAUGGGCCCGCGGCGCAUUAGCUAGUUGGUGAGGUAACGGCUCACCAAGGCGACGAUGCGUAGCCGACCUGAGAGGGUGAUCGGCCACACUGGGACUGAGACACGGCCCAGACUCCUACGGGAGGCAGCAGUAGGGAAUCUUCCGCAAUGGACGAAAGUCUGACGGAGCAACGCCGCGUGAGCGAAGAAGGCCUGCGGGUCGUAAAGCUCUGUUGUUAGGGAAGAACAAGUAACGCAGUAACUGGCGUUACCGUGACGGUACCUAACGAGAAAGCCACGGCUAACUACGU
This 497-nucleotide ribosomal RNA is filed under the name uncultured bacterium. Its description in RNAcentral is "partial 16S ribosomal RNA". It matches the Rfam family "Bacterial small subunit ribosomal RNA", at positions 28 to 506 of the family's 1533-position model. The record is from RNAcentral.